Non-coding RNA from Glycine soja, 159 nucleotides. NCBI's taxonomy places the organism in Eukaryota, Viridiplantae, Streptophyta, Magnoliopsida, Fabales, Fabaceae. The record is from Rfam.
CCAUUAAGUGAUGGCGUGACAGACGGAGUGCCAUGCCAUCACACCUUAUCAUGGACACCUUGUUGUCAUGUCAUCACUUUCAAUGACGUGACAAUGAUGUGUUAGUGAUUGGGCAUGAUGACGUGACACUCCGUCUAUCACGUUUAUCACUUAAUGGAA